Molecule: ribosomal RNA, 460 nt
Filed under: uncultured bacterium
Lineage: Bacteria
Description: partial 16S ribosomal RNA
Rfam family: Bacterial small subunit ribosomal RNA
Source: RNAcentral
CCUACGGGGUGCAGCAGUGAGGAAUAUUGGUCAAUGGGCGCGAGCCUGAACCAGCCAAGUAGCGUGAAGGAUGACUGCCCUACGGGUUGUAAACUUCUUUUAUAUGGGAAUAAAACAGGGUAUGCAUACCCUCUUGUAUGUACCAUAUGAAUAAGCAUCGGCUAACUCCGUGCCAGCAGCCGCGGUAAUACGGAGGAUGCGAGCGUUAUCCGGAUUUAUUGGGUUUAAAGGGUGCGUAGGUGGUUAAUUAAGUCAGCGGUGAAAGUUUGUGGCUCAACCAUAAAAUUGCCGUUGAAACUGGUUGACUUGAGUAUAUUUGAGGUAGGCGGAAUGCGUGGUGUAGCGGUGAAAUGCAUAGAUAUCACGCAGAACUCCGAUUGCGAAGGCAGCUUACUAAACUAUAACUGACACUGAAGCACGAAAGCGUGGGGAUCAAACAGGAUUAGAUACCCCAGUAGUC